Molecule: long non-coding RNA, 1073 nt
Organism: Brassica napus (rape)
Lineage: Eukaryota; Viridiplantae; Streptophyta; Magnoliopsida; Brassicales; Brassicaceae
Exons: 6
Source: RefSeq, a predicted model, not a curated record
AGGCGAACAUGUCAGAAAUUUGCGAGCUCCUGUUGUGACAGAAAUUUGCGAGCUACUGUUGCGACACGUAUGAAACGCAUCGUUUCAUUAAAGUGCGUUUCUAUUGUUUCGGGUUUGGCGUUGGGCUUUAUUUUUUUAAGAAACAUGCCUUUUAGCUAGAAACCCUAAAUCCUAUCGUUUUACGUCCCUUUCUGUUCUUAGGUUCAUCACACUUUUUUUUCCGCCGUUUCAGGGUUUGAGAUUAUGAAAUCGACGUGAUGAAUAUCUUUGCAGGGUUUCGAUGCGCCGUUUGAUCUUUGCUUUCAUCAACCAAACGCUCACGGUUACAGAUUCGUUGCAGUAAAUCCAUUAUUAACUUCGCCAGCCACGAUCUUGCCUUCAAUGCGAGUUUCUCUUCUACAAAUCGUGUAUCUGUGAGUAUAAAUAGGGAGCAAUCUGGACUAAUGGGUUUAUUGAAUUUUGAUUUGAUGGUCGCUGGAUGGAAGCUGAUCGUAGUAUCAGCUUACAACAUAUUCUGCUAGAAAGUAACAAUCAGAGGAAGCUAAUAUAAGGGGUUUGAAAAUUUUCACUCUUUCUCCAACGUUUGCCUUUUCAAAACCCCCAAAGUCAUGUUUGAAAAACUCUGCUUCCAUCCCAAUAUGGAUGUCUAUGGCAAUAUUUGCUUUGACAUUCUUUAGGUAAAUGGUCAUCCGCUUGUGAUGUGAGGACGAUAUCACUUUCAGUUUCAGUUUAAAACCUUUUUGGAGAACCGAACAUUAGCUCAACUUUGAACAAACCGAUUUUGGAGCAAUCAAGAAGUUUUCUGCUGUACAUAAUACAUGAAGAUGGUUGAGAAGCUUUACAAAGAUGGUUCAGAAGCUUUUUAUCAUCAAUAAUGAAUUUUCUUCUUUGUACUUGGAUGCAAGAGUGUCUUUCAGAUUCCAAAGAUCAUUUUUCUUUUGUACUCAUCUCAAGUUGUGCCAAUCUUAGCAAUCUUAAACUUUUUUAUUUGCAGUCACUAAAAAAGAGUUUUUGUUGUGACAAUGAAAUUUAAGGUUAUUGUACUCAAAUAAAUGUGAAAAUUUGAAAUAUUA